Molecule: long non-coding RNA, 2509 nt
Organism: Gallus gallus (chicken)
Lineage: Eukaryota; Metazoa; Chordata; Aves; Galliformes; Phasianidae
Source: Ensembl
CUUUGUCCUAUUUGUACAAGCCCUGCUGAGUUUCAAGUCACAACACAGCUUGUGGGUAAGCCCGUGUUUGUCCUUCACCUCAUUCACUGUCUCCUUCAUCACUACCUCCCUUUACCCUUGUUCUCUCACCCUAUUGCUUUAGAAAACCCCAUUCCUCUGGGCAGUCUAUUUGAACUACUGUGCAUAGCCUCCCACUGCUGUUUGGCCCUCUCUCUCUCAUGUCUGGAGUUCCUCAAGUUUUAUUUUUACUGUCACCAUCUUCCACAACACUUUCUGCUGUCCCUUGGUUCCUUUUUCCAUAGACGGGGCUCUGGACCUGGGCCAUGUUAUACCUCCAGCAAGAACAUCCUGAGUAGUCAGCAUGCACAAAAAUGCCAGGGGAGUUGGACCAGAUGGCCUUUACAAGUCUCUUCCAACUCGAACGAUUCUAUGAUAAGGGGGAGAGAGCCCAUCUGAGGUUGUGUCUGUCCUGAGAGCGCCAUGGCAGGCAAUCCCUGCAGCCUUCAGACCCAAACGAGCCAGCAGAUCCUGGUUUGUACACCAACGUGCACAGGAAUAGAAUGACGAUUCAUGCAGGGGAGCAGGAUAUUAGAUACAAAUAAGAAGUCUUUCUUUUGCUAAAAAUAUGAAUUCUUCCCCCUGUGAACAGACAGGCAAUAAAGGUGCCAUCUCCCCCCUGUACGCACACCCACAGGACCAAGGGUUCACCUCCUUCCACGAGACAGAGCACACAGCAGCGUGUCCCCAGAGGGCUUUCAGGAGACACGAGCAUCCUUGCAGUAGGAGUGCUGAGCCCUACCAGGGAGGGGCAGCUGCUUCCCAAACCUCCCCUCACUGCUCCACAUAGGGCUUCCUGCCCAAGCUGCACCUGCUCCUUGGAUCACCCUCAGCAAAUCAAGCUGAGUGCUGAAGGGGAAGGCUGAAUCCCCAUGGAGUCGCAUCUCACAAUAUGACUGAAAACCCCAUAUUUUAGGGCAAAAGCCUCCUCCUUCCCCUUCACAGAGCCUUCUAGUAACCUGGCUGAGCUCUAUACAUAUAUAUAUAUAUAUAUAUAUAUAUAUGUAAAGCUUAGUGCCAUCCUUGGCAACACAUAGCAGCAGAGAGCCCAGCCCAGCCCAUUUUCUCCCCAUGGAGAUCAGCCGGUGGCACUGCGGUACUUUUGAUUUUCUCUAGAAACCUGUCUCUUCAGGAUUUCUUUUCUAUUUUUUUUUUUUUUUUUUUUUUUUUUGAAGUCAAAGUCUGUUUCCCGUUUGGUAGGUGACCUGUUUAAUGUUUUCCCUGUGUCUGGGAACUCCUUAGUGUAAUUAGCGACCUUUGAACUCCACAACUAAUCCUGAGCUAUUUUGUAUUCCUUACUCAUCUUUAAGGCUGGACCUUUCUUUUCUUUUGAGUCCGCUGCCACAAUUAAAGAAGAAACAGCUGCAUUUCAAAGGGAUUCCAAUUCCAGAAGCUUAAUCGUGAUUGACAUGUUCUUAUUCUAAGCUAUAAGAAACUCUAAGAGUCCUUUCUUGGGUUAAAACUUCAAUCAUUUUCUAAAAAAUUAUCUCAAUAUGGAUUUUAUUCAUUUUCUUUGAUAACCAUUCUUUGCAGUUUUUUUUUUUUUUUAACUUGAAAGAUGCUUUGAGUUUGCAAUGAAUAUGAACUGCGCCCUGCUCUGAAAGAAUGAAUGGUGUCAGGCGCAUUCUAGAUGCAGAAGUGGCUAAAUUCCAUUUAUUGCCAACAUCUGAUGAUGAAAUCUGAUGUCCGCCGUGUAGCUUGACAUCCUCCCGUAUACCCAAAAGGUGGGAGAGGUGGAAGGGCUUGCAAACGGAAGGCAACAAGAAAGCGUGUACAAGAAAUCUACAUUUUUAACUGCUUUCUCCAAUUUUUAUAGCACAGAUUAUAAAGCCAUUGCCUUACAGCCAUGGAAGAGCACCGUCUCUCCUUUCCAGUGUGAAUGGAUCGUCCACAAAAAAAAAAAAAACAAAAAAAAAAACAUGAUAAAAUAUAAGUAAUUCAUUUGGCUUAAAAGUGUUGACGCAACUGCACAACAAGAACCGAACUUGGCUGAUGUUGGAAAACGAUGGAAGCCCAUUGGGGAUGGUUAAUUAAUGAUUAAGCCCAUCUCCCUUACGUUUUACUUCAUUGGGACCUCAGAAAGAAAGACUGGGAAAAUAAAAAGUCCUGAGAAUGUGUUUGUAUGCAUUUGUUUGUGCAGAUAUAUAGGUGAGAUGGGCACACGGCUACGCGGGCAUCGCUCACAGCCCUGCGGAUAAAGCUCUGCCCAAUGAACGUGCAGAGCCCCGCAGAAGGCAGCAGGCAGGAUGCGUUGUUUCUAAGACAAAGGUCAAAUAAAAAAGGAUGUUAAUAAACAGCCCUCCGGUUUAAGGGACUUUUUUUAAGGAUUACAUCUUAAAUUCCAACAAAUCAGAUUUAGGAGUUACUGAAAGUGAAAUUGAUCCAUCCCUCAACCAAACUUUGCAAUACUUUCCUGUUCUGACAUCAUUUAGAUAGUUAGCUGCAUUAUCAG